Molecule: unclassified non-coding RNA, 269 nt
Filed under: Cladophialophora sp.
Lineage: Eukaryota; Fungi; Ascomycota; Eurotiomycetes; Chaetothyriales; Herpotrichiellaceae
Description: partial contains 5.8S ribosomal RNA, internal transcribed spacer 2, and large subunit ribosomal RNA
Source: RNAcentral
CGCACAUUGCGCCCUUUGGUAUUCCGAAGGGCAUGCCUGUUCGAGCGUCAUUAUCACCCCUCAAGCCCCGUGCUUGGUGUUGGACGGCCGGUCGAGGCCCCCUCGACCCCUCCUAAAAAUAAAGACGGCGACCUGUGGUUCCCCCGGUACACUGAGCUUCUCACCGAGCACGUAUUGGACAAGGGCGCCCAGGACCCGGUCUUCUCCUCUCACGAGGAAAUUUUUCUAAGGUUGACCUCGGAUCAGGUAGGAAUACGCGCUGAACUUAA